GCCAAGGAUGUUUUCAUUGAUCAAGAACGAAAGUWAGGGGAUCGAAGACGAUCAGAUACCGUCGUAGUCUUUACUAUAAACGAUGAGGACUGGGGAUCGGGCGAGKYAUUWYGAUGACCCGCCCGGCACCCUUCGAGAAAUCAAAGUGUUUGCUUUCYGGGGGGAGUAUGGUCGCAAGUCUGAAACUUAAAGGAAUUGACGGAAGGGCAUCACCGGGUGUGGAGCCUGCGGCUUAAUUUGACUCAACACGGGAAAACUUACCAGGUCAGGACAUARUGAGGAUUGACAGAUUGAGAGCUCUUUCUUGAUUCUAUGGKUGGUGGUGCAUGGCCGUUYUUAGUUGGUGGAGUGAUUUGUCUGGUUAAUUCCGUUAACGAGCGAGACCUGGGCGUGCUAAMUAGGGGGUACUACCAUUUUGGUAGUACGCAUACCCUUSUUAGACGGACUGGGGGCGUCUAGCCCCCGGAAGCKCCAGGCAAURWCAGGUMUGASAUGCCMUUAGAUGUUCUGGGCCGCACSCRUGCUACACUGAGUGGAUCAGCGGGUUAUGUAACACGAAAGUGUGUCCUAAUCUUCAAAUCCGCUCGUGAUGGGGAUUGACRGUUGCAAUUUUCCGUCAURAACGAGGAAUMCCUUGUAAGCGCGUUUCAUCAUAWCGCGCUGAAUACGUCCCUGCCCUUUGUACMCACCGCCCGUCGCUCCUMCCGAUUGAGUGGUCCGGUGAGGCUUUGGGACSUGAGCGGAAAAAGCGUUUC
Molecule: ribosomal RNA, 755 nt
Filed under: Lithophyllum kotschyanum
Lineage: Eukaryota; Rhodophyta; Florideophyceae; Corallinales; Lithophyllaceae
Description: partial 18S ribosomal RNA
Rfam family: Eukaryotic small subunit ribosomal RNA
Source: RNAcentral